AUAGCUCAGUGGUAGGGUGCAUGCUCAGCAUGCAUGGGGUCCUGGGUUCAAUCCCCAGU
This 59-nucleotide transfer RNA is filed under the name Camelus bactrianus (Bactrian camel). It matches the Rfam family "tRNA", at positions 7 to 64 of the family's 71-position model. From Rfam's summary of the family: Transfer RNA (tRNA) molecules are approximately 80 nucleotides in length. Their secondary structure includes four short double-helical elements and three loops (D, anti-codon, and T loops). Lineage: Eukaryota; Metazoa; Chordata; Mammalia; Artiodactyla; Camelidae. The record is from Rfam by way of RNAcentral. RNAcentral also lists the same sequence under 2 other names.